Thamnophis sirtalis is the source of this 998-nucleotide non-coding RNA. NCBI's taxonomy places the organism in Eukaryota, Metazoa, Chordata, Lepidosauria, Squamata, Natricidae. The record is from RefSeq and is a predicted model, not a curated record.
AGUACCUGGUGAGCGUCCCCUUGAAGAUGUUCCGGCUGUGGGCGUUCAUGGGCAUGAUGGCUCAGAUCCCCCUGGCCUGGUUCGUGAGCCGCUUUCUCCGGGGCAACUACGGGAACGCAGCGGUGUGGAUGUCCUUGAUCAUCGGUCAGCCGAUCGCCGUCCUCAUGUACGUCCACGACUACUACGUGCUGAAUUACGAAGGGAGCCAGUGAGAGAGACUCUCCGUCCUGCCUCUCCCUCCUGAGGAUCAGUUGGGGGGGGGCAGCCUCCUCCCUCCGGCCUUUUCUGCUGCCUCCCUGGAGGCCCAGAUCCAUUGAGGGCACCAGCCCAGGGAACGAAGGCGAUUCUCCUCCGGAGUGUGUGUGUGUCUGUGUGGGGAGGCAGCCUCACGUGUGUUAUCUUGUCUGUGUGCGUGUGUGUGCGUGUGCGUGCGCGUGGUGGUUGCCUAUCCGUUACUCUUGAGUCCGAACAUAUUGGAUCGAUGCAAUAACCUUCCUGGUGCCCGAGUUUUUAGCUGGUCCUCUGGCAGGAUUUGGUCCCUUGAGCCGUUGCCUUCCAUCUGUGCAAUAGAGGACUGAUGCCAAGCGUGCCUGGCAGGGCAGAGGGAAGCCGGGCCACUCAAGACGGGCGGGCAAAGGGGGCUGCCUCCCUGGCACUUUAGAAGGACUCAGGUUCAUUUGGGGGCCUCGCCAGCCCCAUCAGCGGGUGAGAGCAGCCCCCUCCCUCCGCUCUGCCGUCUUUCUCGGGCCGGCCUUUCCCAGGACCAGGCUCCUCUUUGCCCCUCCGUCCUGACGCAACUGGGGCCGAGCUCUGCACAGCCAUGGGGCCCUUUGGGGGAGAGGCCCCUGGGACUCCGUCCGGGAGGCAGGAGCCGUGUCCGAUUCCUGGGGUGGGGUGGGGGACUCCGUGGCUCGGCCCCGUUUUUGUCAACCCUUUUUAAAGAGUUUGCAGAAUUUAUUCUGCCCGGUACGAAGUGAAUAAAGCAUAUUUUCAAAAGG